RNAcentral lists this long non-coding RNA (541 nucleotides) under Setaria viridis. RNAcentral describes it as "long non-coding RNA (SVIR_LNC009733)". The record is from RNAcentral. Lineage: Eukaryota; Viridiplantae; Streptophyta; Magnoliopsida; Poales; Poaceae.
AUACACGCAGCACUCCACUUAUAGUCAUGUCGUUCAACAAGAAAACAGUGCUCUCAGGCUUCACCUUGGCCUUGCUCCUCGUGUCAUGUUGUAAGUUCUUAGGAGAUUAUUUAAUUCAAAAUUUCCAUGGAGUUCUUCUGAAUAAUUUUUUUGCUUCCACAUUUACAAAGAAACUUCUGCAAUUGUAGGUCUGAAGGCAUCAGCAGACCCGUGCCCUAUGGUAGGCACCAUGGACUGCAUUAAGGACUCGGCAUGCAGGAGCUGUUGCAUCAGCAAUGGCUACACCGACGGCCAUUGUAAUAGAAAUGGCAUCUGGUCAUGCGUGUGCACCAAGGAUGGGUCGAUGCCAGGGAAGGAGACUUCGUCAAUAAAGCCAGCCCCACUGGGAUGGCGCGGAAUGGGAACGUUUAACUGAUGUGUGGUGUGGGUUUAAUGUUGUGAUGUCUUUCGAUGGAUCCGCACAAAGUGUAACAACCAAAGUUGCAUGAAGAGAAAUUUAAAGUGAACCGGGUGGACAGGUCUCUGAGUUGUUUGCCAUGGA